Non-coding RNA from Peromyscus maniculatus bairdii (prairie deer mouse), 5430 nucleotides. NCBI's taxonomy places the organism in Eukaryota, Metazoa, Chordata, Mammalia, Rodentia, Cricetidae. The record is from RefSeq and is a predicted model, not a curated record.
GGGGGCGUGGCCUCAACUCCCGGGGCCGCCGCCGAAACUCUGGGGCCGCGCUUGGCCGCAAGUACAAAGCGAGCUGGUGGCCGCUCUGCGGCACGGCCCCGGCGCGCGCCUCCCUGCGGGCCACCACCCCCGCGUCCCCGGAGCCGCCCGAAAACGCCGUUGGAACGCAGAUUCCCGCCUCUCCCCGUCCCCCCACCCCUCCCGCCCUGGCAUGUGUCGGGGAAAUCGGUUUCCCUUUUUCAAAAUGGCUUGGGUCAUCUCAACGGUUUGCGGGUUUCGAAGACACGCCCCAGCCUCCCUGCACCUUCAUCGGGAUUUGACAGGGCAGGUCUCCUUGUCCCCUGCCUGAAGGACACUCCAGCCAUUUCUCCUUUCCGGGCGGGCCCAGGGGCCUCCCAACAGUUUCCUCUGGGACAUUCAAAUGUAGCACAUUGCACUUAAGUAUUUGAAGUAUUUAUAGGCUGAUACAAUGGCCGGGGAAGCUUCGCGCCCCAAGACAGCUCCUCCCGCCACCUACCACAGACUGUAAUUAGAGCGGCUUGGUGACCCGGGCAGGCUGAGGCCAAACCUGCCCCGGUUUCAUGGUUUCAUUCUGGCCUGGCUGGCUGGCUGGCUGCUCCUGGGACGUGCCAAGACCACAGGUUCUUCCACUUGGAAUCGCUGGAGUAUCUCUUCCUCUCUGACACAGUCUGAGUACUGAAGGAAAAAUAGAUAGAUGAUCCAAGCAGGCUGCUUUGGGGUUGAUCGUGGAGGAGGCCAACCUGGAGAACGGUUUGGAUUUGAAUUGGGAAGUUUCUCCACCUUCACAGAUCUUCUAAAACUGCGGGUGUCUCAUGCGGUCAAGUGGAGGUUUGAGUACAUUUCUAAAAUGUACUGCCCCGGCUAAAUGAGGUAGUGCCUGCCAGUGUAGGGGACCAGAAAAGGCUGUGUCUUUGUUAUUAAUGUGCCAGCAUGUCCCACCAUAUAAGCCACAUUUCUCUGAGUGUAGGAUACAAAUUGUCACUUUAUUCCUACCCUAUAGCCUGAUCUACAAGAUCCAUAGAGUUAAUUUUCUAUCGUCCCAAUGCUAUUGACUGUAUCCCUGGCAAAACUCUAACGUGGUCAGGAAUGGUGGUGCAAGCCUGUAAUUUCUGCUACUACAGAGGCUGAGGCAAGAGGAUCCCAAGCUCAGGCCAAUUUUAUGAGACUCUUUUGUCCAAAUAAAAGCAAAAAACGGUUGGAGAUGUAGCUCAGUGGUGGACAGCUUGCUUGCUUAGCAUAAGCAAGAGUCUGAUUUCAGUGCCCAGGACUAUAAAUAAGCGCCCUGAUUCUCAACUUGUAUCAGGCAGUGCAGCCUUUGGCAGGUAGUAAGCACAUGACAAGGAAUCCUCACGAUGGGAUCAAUGCUGAUAUUAGAGGAGAUGGGAUGAAGACAGAUGAUUGCUUUCUGAUAGUGAAAUGGCAGCCUGUCUGGAUCACAGAAACAGCCCUUGACAAGAAUUUGACCAUGGCUAAAGCCCGGUCCCAGACCUCCAGCCUCUACGCCUAGGAAAAAAUAAAUGUUAGUCAUUUAAACUGUCCUGUCUACAGCUUAAAUUCUAUUGUAGCUUAAAUUAAAAUCCAAAGUGAAAACUAAGACCAAAGUAAAAGUUCAGUCUUAAAACAGCCCCUGCAGCAUUGAGAGGUGAGAUGGUACUCUCCACCCCCCAUCCAUUCUGUUUGCAGGGACUUUUGACCCUAGCUAGAGGGAGAUGCACAUAGCCUGUUUUAGCUCUUUGUCUCACUCUCUGAAAUUAAUCACAAAUGGUCCCUGACACGGUGCACUCUGACCUCGACCAUCCGAAUGACCUCCUAUGCUGGUGUCUUGCUUUAACUUAUUUAUUGUUUCAUACAUUCUCUUCUAAAGGAAUAAAUGUUUUGAAGAACCAUAUUUUGACUUUCAUGAGAUUCUGUCAGAACUGAGCAGAAUGCUAUGGACUGAAAAGCUACCCAAAUUGUUACUGAAUAUGAAUGCAUGGUGAGAUUGCCUUUUAGUAGGAAUAUACCAAAAUGAAAAAGGCUUAUGCUACAGUCCACCUUGAACUCUAGUAUGAAGAGUUAUAGAAAGACACUGCCAUCAUCAGUUGUUAAGACUGUGGAACUAUCUCCAAAUAUCCUCAGAGCUCAGAUGCAGUGAGUGUCCAAAAUCUGGUUUCUGGAGCAGCAGCAGAAAAACUUUGACACACUCCACCUCAUCCCAUGCUAUUGAAUGAACACUCCCAGAGGGAAAACCACUUGGUGAGCCUGCUGAUCUCUGCAGAGCUACUUCCUGGACCCCAAAUUCUGGCAUUUUGGAGGUUGGCCAGAGCCUGAGAGCAGAGACCAUUGGUGUGAAGGAACAAGGGAUUCAUCAUGAUGGGAUCCCAUUGCUCGCUCCAGUCAGAGACUGAAGCCAUGGAUACAGAACAAUCAGGCCAAUGAGCUUCCAGAAGACCGGAAGAGGAAGGGAGAGAGAGACACUGAUUUUAACGUGUACUAAACUGGGCACCCACCUAGACUUCAAUCCUCACAGCAAACCUUCAGGCUUUGGCGGUACUAUCUCCCACGUGCAAAGGAGAGUAUGGAAGCACAGAAGGGCCAAGAUACCUGCUUGUGGAAACGCAGCUAAGGCGGAAGACCCAGUUUCUAGGUUGGUGGGUCGUGGAGUCGGAGGGCAAGGGACACCUGAGUUGAAGCAGAAGCUGGAAGAUGCUGAAUCAGAGUUGACUUCUGUUAAGAUCUGCAGCUUUCCCUCCUUCCUUCCUCUCACGCCUACCGCCUCGCCUCCACCCGCCACCCUGCUCCCAGUGCUCCGUAGACCUCCAUUCUCACAUGACAUUGUGACCCUGGGCAUCUCAGAUCCUGGCUAACGACUAGCUCGUCCUCAGCGCCACCACCCCGUCUCCUUUGAAGCCUCUACUGACGCACCAGCUUGCUCUGGCAUUUCUACGUCCUCCAUCCAUCUCCACCGGGCCUCGGCACAGCCCAGAUUUCCAUGAUGUAGUGAGCCCCAAGGAAGAGCCUGACUGCAGAACUGGGAAAAUAUGCACACGGCUGCUCUCAGCUGACCAGAGCCUGGUCCAGCACAUGGCAGCCACUGGUUCAGUACAAAACAACCUUAUCUGCAGUGUGAGUGUGGGUGUGUGAGGUUCCACGAGUCUGACGUCUGUGGUCAGAGGGCUCACCAGCUUGGCCAGGUGGUAUGGCUUUGUAUGGUAUGGGUAUAUGGCCAAUGGUUAGAUGUUUGGGCAUUUGUUUCAGGGAGAGACCUUUCAACAUUCUGGCUCCCCUGUUCCCCAGCUCUGUGCUCUUUGAACAAAUAACUCUCUGAAAACUAAUUUUCCUCCUCUAUCAAACUGAGACAAUAAUGGUCAUUUUAAGGCUGCUUGGGUGGCUGAAUGUGCUUAAAUGCAGCUAUUUCCCUGGGAGGCGAGGGGCAUUAGUAGAGUCGUUCUUGAGGCCCUGCCCAGCUGGCCUGCGCUGGCGGCUGUCACUGACCUCCCUGAUGGAUGUGGUCCUCGUUCUAUUUAGAUUCAGGGAUGGGAUGCUUCCAGAGAGCCCACAGAAGUGGCAGUGGGAGGACAGUAGGUGAUGAGACACAGGGCACACAGAGGCGUGUUUCCAGGUACAUACAGCCUUAGUAACAACCAGCCAGAGUGGCAAAAUCAGAGGACUAUAUGGGCAUGGAAACCUGAGUUGAACUCAGAUCGGGAACACGCAUCCACACACCCUCUCCGGAGCACUGGUGAUGGUUGGUUCGCUUGAUUUUUGUGAACUAGGUGGGUGAAACGACUUCUGGUUGCUCUACUGUGUAUACCUAGAAACAAAGCGCACACCCUCACAGAGAGCACACUCGGAGAGAAGCUACCCGGUGGCUUCAUUCUGCUCGCCUGCCUUUUCCGCUCUGUGAGAAGGCCAGAGUGAGGCUGGGCUCUGCUCUGCUCCAGCUGCUCUCUCGACUUGGACCUGAGACCCACUGGACCUGUCGAGCCAACUUCCCCUUCCACGGUGCCACCUGCUUCUAGACCUUCUUGGCACCUGCAGCACAGCCAGGAGAACGCUCAGCUCUCCUUUCUUCCCCACGGCCUUCACCUCUGCCAUUUGCCAUCCGCCCAAGGAGCUGGGGUGGAAUUGGACAGUAUGUGGGAUCCUUCCUUCUGUCCCGCCUCACAGUCAAAGCACAACACAGAUGGAUGGGCCUACCUGCUCGGUACACCCUGCUUGUGUCUCGGCCCCGGGCUGACCUGUCCCUAAGUCCCUCCUCUUCCCCUCUCACCCUUUAUUCACCGGUCAGCAGCCAGAGGGAUCAGCUCACACUCAUCGAAGGCCCCGUACUUGCAGCCCUGGUUUGCCCUGGCCAGGCUCCCCCCACAACCAUGUCUGCGGUCUCUCUUCCUCUCUGCACACUGCCACAGUGACCUCCUUUUCGCUCCCCGCAGCACAUCCAGCCACCCACCUCGGUUUUGCAUUUGGUUUGCUAGCUGUUCUGCUGAUAAAGGCUGUGCUUGAGAGUUCCCAGCACAAACCAGCCUGAGGCGCCUCUGGGGAUCUCAUCUCCAUUGCCGACUCAGGCCCCCAAAGCGCCUGCAGCCCUCAUUCUCCCCAAGCGGGGAUGUCCCCGCAACCUCUGUCAGGGCUCUGCAUUUUGUCAUUUCUGUUUGCUAUUUAGAGAGACACCUGGCCUGGAGCUGUGGAGUGAGACAAACACAGUGUGGAAAGUCUAGCCGACACUGCCCUGGCUCUGCAGGGAAAGCCACCCCGAGCUAGGUCUCUCAAAACACCGGUGCCGGCACAUGCAUCAAGGAGCAGCUGCUCUCUUCCUUCUCCACCAGGGGCCCAGAGGAGCUCAAGAGUGCCGGCCCAUGUCUUAGGUCACUCUUGAAUUGUCCCUAGGCAAGAGGUGGGGUGGGGGAGUGGCUCUGCCCAGGAGAGGCCUCCUGGGGGGCUCAGCUGCCAGCUCUGCCUGCGAGGGCUGCAUUACCACAAGGGUGACUUCAGCUCUGAGCCUCUCUUCCCAGCCUGUGAAAUGGGUAUAGUUGUGGUCACCUUUCUCAAACAAGUACAAGUAUAUUCACACACACAAGAAGCUCAGGAUAGGCCCCGCACAUAGGAAAUAUUGUGAGGUUUUUGCCACCAGGUUCAAAUCUCAGCUCUGUCUGUCUGUCUGGGUUUAGGUAAGUCGCUUCCUCUCUCUUUUCUCAUAUACAAGAUGGGAUGUUCUUCAUGGUGAGAACAUGGUGAGAGCAUGGUGGAAGCAUGGUGAGAUCCCUAGCCCUUGCGGGAGAGGCUUACUAGAGGCUGGUCCUGUCCCUCCUCCCCCCCUCGCAUCUGAAGCUUGUCUCUGCACUCCGGCACUUCUCUCUCUCUGCUGUCACACUGAAUAAAUGAAUACGUUAAGUUAGUGCACAGACUUUCAGAAUCCAGGCUGGUGCG